This 526-nucleotide ribosomal RNA is filed under the name uncultured bacterium. Its description in RNAcentral is "bacterial SSU rRNA". It matches the Rfam family "Bacterial small subunit ribosomal RNA", at positions 355 to 896 of the family's 1533-position model. The record is from RNAcentral.
UAGGGAAUAUUGCACAAUGGGCGAAAGCCUGAUGCAGCAACGCCGCGUGCGCGAAGAAGGCCUUCGGGUCGUAAAGCGCUUUUCUGAGAGAUGAGAAAGGACAGUAUCUCAGGAAUAAGUCUCGGCUAACUACGUGCCAGCAGCCGCGGUAAAACGUAGGAGGCGAGCGUUAUCCGGAUUCACUGGGCGUAAAGCGCGUGCAGGCGGUUCGGUAAGUUGGGCGUGAAAUCUCUCGGCUUAACUGGGAGAGGUCGUUCAAUACUACCGGGCUAGAGAGUGGUAGAGGAAGAUGGAAUUCCCGGUGUAGUGGUGAAAUGCGUAGAUAUCGGGAGGAACACCAGUGGCGAAAGCGAUCUUCUGGACCAUUUCUGACGCUCAGACGCGAAAGCUAGGGUAGUAAACGGGAUUAGAGACCCCGGUAAUCCUAGCCAUAAACGAUGUAAACUUGGCGUUGGUGGCUUAAACUCCAUCAGUGCCGCAGCAAACGCGAUAAGUUUACCGCCUGGGGACUACGAUCGCAAGAUUA